Long non-coding RNA from Dreissena polymorpha, 1077 nucleotides. RefSeq lists it as uncharacterized. The record is from RefSeq and is a predicted model, not a curated record. Lineage: Eukaryota; Metazoa; Mollusca; Bivalvia; Myida; Dreissenidae. The transcript is spliced from 3 exons.
AUCAACAAUAAGUUUGUUGCAAAGAAGAUUCAUAGUGGGUGGUUAAAGUGAUCAACAACUGCCGUUUUUGUUUUUUUGGAAUGCUGAGGAACAGCUGUAACAGGUUAAACCCCAAGGUGAAAUUUACAUUGAUCGGAAGAUCCAUUGGACAGAAUGUGCAUCAUCGCCUGCCAAAAAAGGGAGCAAAAAGGGGACUACCUGAUGUAUGGACAUGUAUACCAGGUUUUACCCUGCACGAGCAGGCCAACUUGAGGGGAACAGGAGUGGGAAACCGUGCCCUGUAGCUUGUCCUUGACCAAGAAAAGAUGGAUUUGUUGAGAGGACCUGAUCUCAAAUGAGAUCAUGCACGAGAAGCGCCUCACAGACCAUGACAGUAGUAUUCAGACCUGAUCAGCUGGUGAAGUGCUCUAUUAAGGGUUGUUUAUGAAUGCAUUCUUUGUAAGGAACAGUGUAUAACAACAAAUAUAGUGACAGGGGCUAAGCUGCUAAAUAUUGUCAGCAUGUAUGCAGUGAUUUUCUUUGGAAAUUCAAAACAACCUGUACGUACUGGCUCUCAGAAGGGCAUGUUUUAGCGCAAUAAUGAACAAAAAAAGGAAGAUCUUAAAAAUAAGGUAUAGAUUUAUAUAAAUUUCAUGAAUACUGUUCAUUUAUCAUACAUUAGGAUCCAGAAUAUGAUUGAAUUAAAUGUGCUGCUUUUGUCCAUAUCAAAAAGGGAUUUGGAAUUAAUGUAAUAUAUAAAAAUAUAGUAAAUGAUAGGAAAAACAUUUCAGCUUAAGGAGGGGAAAACUUUAAUAUUUUUGAAGUGGAAACCACCUGUAUUUGGCUGUUAAUCAGUUACCGGUAAUCAGAGGGGAGAAAAAGCACUGGUAUGAGCUUGAUAUUUUCAAUUGUUAAUUCCAGAUAGGCAAUAGCCCGUUUGAAUCCUCUCUUUUAUGUAGAUAUGUAACAUUUGUUUUUGUUUUUUAAGGUUUAACAUUCUAAUAAAAGUGUGUAUUUAUCUAUUGAAUUGUACUUUUUGUUUUUUAUGUAUGUGUUUACACUAACCUUUCAUUUAAAGAAUGAAUGCUGACUUCAAAA